Molecule: ribosomal RNA, 403 nt
Filed under: uncultured bacterium
Lineage: Bacteria
Description: partial 16S ribosomal RNA
Rfam family: Bacterial small subunit ribosomal RNA
Source: RNAcentral
AUUGAACGCUGGCGGCAGGCCUAACACAUGCAAGUCGAGCGAGCGGCGGACGGGUGAGUAAUGUAUGGGGACUGCCCGAUAGAGGGGGCUAACUACUGGAAACGGUGGCUAAUACCGCAUACUAUCGGAUAACCCAUAUGGGAUUAGCUAGUUGGUGGGGGAAAGGCUAACCUAGGCGACGAUCCCUAGCUGGCCUGAGAGGAUGAGCCGCUACACUGGGACUGAGAAACGGCCCAGAAUCCUACGGAGGCAGCAGGGGGGAAUAUUGCACAAUGGGCGAAAGCCUGAUGGAGCCAUGCCGCGUGUAUGAAGAAGGCCUUAGGGUUGUAAAGUACUUUCAGCGGGGAGGCGUUACCCGCAGAAGAAGCACCGGCUAACUCCGUGCCAGCAGCCGCGGUAAUUC